UAAUGAUGACGAGGAAAAUUCCUGAGCAUACCCUUGAAUCCUUCCUAAGCUUGGUAAAGAUUUUCUCUAUCCUUCUUCCUAAAACUCAGAAUCUUACUUAUCAAAUG
Non-coding RNA from Capsicum annuum, 107 nucleotides. The record is from Rfam. Lineage: Eukaryota; Viridiplantae; Streptophyta; Magnoliopsida; Solanales; Solanaceae.